GUUUCUUUGUGGUAGUUCUCUUUUUUUCACAUCAUUUUGGACCGUUACAACCACCAUAUCUGUGUCUGAAAAGGUUGGAAAAGCUAGAGCAGAUAAUAAAUAACUAACACUCAACAAGCUUAAGGACAAAAGUUGCCAA
Molecule: long non-coding RNA, 139 nt
Organism: Etheostoma cragini (Arkansas darter)
Lineage: Eukaryota; Metazoa; Chordata; Actinopteri; Perciformes; Percidae
Exons: 3
Source: RefSeq, a predicted model, not a curated record